UCCUUCGGGCAAUGGAUACAGGUGGUGCAUGGUUGUCGUCAGCUCGUGCCCGUGAGGUGUUGGGUUAAGUCCCGCCAACGAGCGCAACCCUCAUUGUUAGUUACUACCAUUCAGUUGAGGACUCUAAUGAGACUGCCAACGACAAGUUGGAGGAAGUGGGGAUGACGUCAAAUCAUCAUGCCCUUUAUGACCUGGGCUACAAACGUACUACAAUGGCCAAUACAAAGAGAUGCGAAGCGGUGACGUGGAGCGAACCUCAGAAAGUUGGUCUCAGUUCAGAUUGAAGUCUGCAACUCGACUUCAUGAAGGCGGAAUCGCUAGUAAUCGCGGGUCAGCAGACCGCGGUGAAUACGUUCCCGGGCCUU
This 365-nucleotide ribosomal RNA is filed under the name uncultured Mollicutes bacterium. RNAcentral's name for it is "bacterial SSU rRNA". It matches the Rfam family "Bacterial small subunit ribosomal RNA", at positions 1016 to 1382 of the family's 1533-position model. Lineage: Bacteria; Bacillati; Mycoplasmatota; Mollicutes. The record is from RNAcentral.